GGUUCAGUGGUGUAGUGGAUAUCACGUCCGCCUCACACGCGGAAGGUCCCCGGUUCGAGCCCGGGCUGAACCA
This 73-nucleotide transfer RNA is filed under the name Paragonimus heterotremus. RNAcentral describes it as "tRNA-Val". Lineage: Eukaryota; Metazoa; Platyhelminthes; Trematoda; Plagiorchiida; Troglotrematidae. The record is from RNAcentral.